GACGAACGCUGGCGGCGUGCUUAACACAUGCAAGUCGAACGCUGAAGCUCAGCUUUUGUUGGGUGGAUGAGUGGCGAACGGGUGAGUAACACGUGAGUAACCUGCCUCCUUCUUUGGGAUAACGCCCGGAAACGGGUGCUGAUACUGGAUAUUCACUGGUCUUCGCAUGGGGGUUGGUGGAAAGGGUUUUUCUGGUGGGGGAUGGGCUCGCGGCCUAUCAGCUUGUUGGUGGGGUGAUGGCCUACCAAGGCUUUGACGGGUAGCCGGCCUGAGAGGGUGACCGGUCACAGUGGGACUGCGGUACGGCCGAGACUGCGACGGGAGGCAGCAGUGGGGAAGAGUGCGCAAUGGGGGCAAGCCUGAUGCAGCGACGCCGCGGAAGGGAUGGAGGCCUUCGGGUUGUGAACCUCUUUCGCUCAUGGUCAAGCCGCAACAAUGGUUGUGGUGAGGGUAGUGGGUAAAGAAGCGCCGGCUAACUACGUG
Molecule: ribosomal RNA, 483 nt
Filed under: uncultured bacterium
Lineage: Bacteria
Description: partial 16S ribosomal RNA
Rfam family: Bacterial small subunit ribosomal RNA
Source: RNAcentral